AGGGACCACGUGGACUCAGGAGAUAGUGGACUUAAUACAAAAUGAAGGUGAUGUUGACCUAACUCAACGAGCACCUACUCAUGUGAGUUUUCCUUUCAUCGAAUGGAUAAUCCCGUCCAUAGGAUCGGGCUUGGAACAAGCUAAUGCGAUGCCCUCACCACGGACCCUGAAAACACACCUUCCCUUCCAACUGCUGCCUCCGUCUUUCCUGGAGAGAAACUGUCAGAUAAUCUAUGUGGCAAGAAACCCCAAGGACAACCUGGUGUCUUACUACCAUUUCCACAGGAUGAA
Molecule: long non-coding RNA, 291 nt
Organism: Myotis lucifugus (little brown bat)
Lineage: Eukaryota; Metazoa; Chordata; Mammalia; Chiroptera; Vespertilionidae
Exons: 3
Source: RefSeq, a predicted model, not a curated record